This is a long non-coding RNA of Rosa chinensis, 2730 nucleotides long. RefSeq lists it as uncharacterized. The transcript has 4 exons. The record is from RefSeq and is a predicted model, not a curated record. NCBI's taxonomy places the organism in Eukaryota, Viridiplantae, Streptophyta, Magnoliopsida, Rosales, Rosaceae.
GCCAAUGUAGAAAUUACAGAGAUCAGAAAAUGAGGGCUUGGGCAAAUUGUUCGAUUCAAUUUCCUCGAAUCGGUGGUCCUAGAUCUGACGGCGGCUGCGAUCGACUCGGUACUGGGCGCCGGCGAUCGUCACUGAGCUCGGCGCCUGCGAUCGACUAUGUAGUCGGCACCGGCGAUCGACUCGGUACUCGGCACCGACGAUCGAUUCGGAGCUCGGCGCCGGCGGUUGUUUCAGUGGUUCGGUCCGUCGGUUAAGUUGGUGGUUGAAUUCGUCGAUGGCGGUCGAUUCGGAAACUCUAGGGUUCUCGAAGAUGGACCAGAAAGCUCGUUGGAUUUUUGGAAUGUGGCCCAGUUGACCUGCUACAGCAAAUAGUGGUUUGUAUAUUUGUGGGAGUUGCCGAGGUCUACUGCUACACAGCAAUAUUGGAUAUCUGCUUAAACAAGUGGCAAGAUUUGUUUGCAUUGGGACAAUGGCAAGAUUUCAGGCUUACCAUAAUCUGAUGGCGUUUCGAAGGUGCAGUCGAAUCGGUACUUGGCAGUUGUUUCUGUGGUUCAGUCCAACAGAUAAGUUGGUGGUUCAAUCCGUCCAUGAUGGUCGACCUUGAUAUUCUAUGGUUCUCGAAGAUGGAGCAGUGUCAAAAAUAUAUAUCAGUGGAGCACCCAUGCUAAGACAUGGUGUGAGGUCAGAAAAUGAAGAUGAAGAUCCGAGGUAAGGGGUGAGGUCUGAAAGUGAGGGAAAAACCUACAACCACUGAAACAGGGAAGACUGUUAGGUAAAUUUUUAAGGUGACUAUCACUACAAUUUUUACUCAAAUACCUGAAAAUCUGAGCUGGGGCAUAGGCAUGUGUUGCACCCCUAACUGCAGUAUGCAAAGUAGCAUAUAUUGAAACAAUUUUUUUGUUGUCAGAAUAUAUAUAUAUAUAUAUAUAUAUAUAUAUAUAUCUAUACUAUUAUUAAGAGAAGAGAGCUUGCUCUCCAAAACUAAUUUUUUUUUUUACUAAUUUAACCUUUAUAUAUUAAAAUAUUAUGAAAUAUAAUUAAUCAAUAGGGAUAAUAUAGUAAAUUGUAAAAUAAAAGAAUAAAAGAAUAAAAAAAUUAUAAAAAAAAAACAGAAAAUAUGGUAGUUGUACGAAAAUUUUUCCCACUACCUUUAACUUCUCUCCACACACAUAAUGGGUGGGCCCUGCUAGUAUGUAUGUAUACACACACACACACACAUACAUAAGAGAGAGAGUUAUUACUUUUAGUCUUAGCAACAUACUUUUCUAUCUGUUUAACUUGGUAGAUUGUGAUCUCUUUUGACUGUACCACUCACUUUGAAUGAAACUAGAAACCGGGUAGGAUAAAUGGUCUUUGUUGAUUAAGUUGGUAGUUUGAUGCAUUUUCUUCACCUGGUUGGUCCCAAGACUAUUAUUCGAAGGUCACUUUGAAUGAAACUAGAAACCAGUAGGAUAAAUGGAUUUUCUUUGUUGAUCAAGUUGGCAGUUUGAUGCAUUUUCUUCACUUUGUUGGUCCCAAGACUAAUAUUUCAAGGCUUUUGUGUGUUCUUCGUUCCUUGUAUGCAUAAGGUCUAUACGUAGAAAUUAGACGUUUCAAAAGGAAAUUCCUGACAAAGGAUUCUUCACUAACCCAUUAUUGUAUAGAAAAACAAAUAAACUGACAUGAUUUUUAUUAGUUUAUGAUCAAUCAAUUGGAUCUGACUUGUCUUAUCUGUUCUGCAUCAACUUUCCAUCAACACAGUUUGAUAUCCAAGAUUUGCUGUUUUCCUAUAGACUGCAGUGUUUUCUAAGACUAUUCAUUUCUGGAUAUGGCUGGGUAAUGAUUAUUAUAAAUGUUUGAGACUGCCUGACUACCCUUUACUUGUUGAUCUUUUUCCUAGGAUACCAUUACUUUGCUGUGCAGCUGUGGGGUUUCUACUUUCUCGUUCAAAAAAUGCACUUGUUGAGCUAAAGUUCUAUAUUAUUCCUCUUAUGCUAUGACCAUGACAUCCAGUUACUUAUGAUCAAAAAGCCUGUUGGAUAUUUGACAUGUGGCUCAGUUGACGAGCCAUAGUGGUAGUUUGGUUUAUAUACUUGGGUAGUCUCCAGAGGUCUACUGCUCCACAUCAAGAUUGGACAUCUGCUUAACUGAGGUGUUCUGAAAUGUCACCCAAGCCAGACCAAGCAGAUUUGCUUGCAUUGGGACAGUGGUAAGAUUUCAGGUAUUGUCUAUUCUUAUUGUUUGGAUCGGAUCUUUAAUUGUGUUUUUGUCUGUAUAUUCUAUUUCUGGGAAACUUUAUAGUUAUUGUUUUUUCUAUGUCUCUUGUGCUUAUAGUUAUUUCCUAAUGCGCUUAUCUUAAAAGUUAUUCAGUAUUUGAAACUUGGUCAAGUCUUGGUAAAAACUAUGAAAGGAAAUUCAUAUGAAUUGUUCAGAACUGGCAUUUCAAAUUUUUGGAUGCUGCAGAUCAACUAGUCUAGUUGGAUGUUGAAGAUGAUCAGGGUGAGGACGAAGGGUGAAAAACAGUAGAGGGGACCUUCAAGAGGGUGAGGAAAAUGGCAAAACAAUGGGACCUUCGGACUUGUAUGCAGUGCUGCACCCUGCUAGUCAAUGGUUUUGGGGGGAAUUUUUAUAUAUAUUUUUUCACUUUAUCAACUGUUUUUAGAUAUGUCAUUGUAAACCAGCAAAUCUGCAAAAUCAUAACAAAAAAGAGUGAGAAAUGAAAUCAAAAAAAUAUGAGGUACAAAGGAAAAA